This 72-nucleotide transfer RNA is filed under the name Lactoria diaphana (roundbelly cowfish). RNAcentral describes it as "tRNA-Thr". It matches the Rfam family "tRNA". From Rfam's summary of the family: Transfer RNA (tRNA) molecules are approximately 80 nucleotides in length. Their secondary structure includes four short double-helical elements and three loops (D, anti-codon, and T loops). The record is from RNAcentral. Lineage: Eukaryota; Metazoa; Chordata; Actinopteri; Tetraodontiformes; Ostraciidae.
GCAUUAGUAGCUCAGAGCCAGAGCGUCGGUCUUGUAAACCGAAUGCCAGGGGUUAAAAUCCCCUCUUUUGCU